GACGAACGCUGGCGGCGUGCUUAACACAUGCAAGUCGAACGGAAAGGCCCUGCUUUUGUGGGGUGCUCGAGUGGCGAACGGGUGAGUAACACGUGAGUAACCUGCCCUUGACUUUGGGAUAACUUCAGGAAACUGGGGCUAAUACCGGAUAGGAGCUCCUGCUGCAUGGUGGGGGUUGGAAAGUUUCGGCGGUUGGGGAUGGACUCGCGGCUUAUCAGCUUGUUGGUGGGGUAGUGGCUUACCAAGGCUUUGACGGGUAGCCGGCCUGAGAGGGUGACCGGCCACAUUGGGACUGAGAUACGGCCCAGACUCCUACGGGAGGCAGCAGUGGAGAAUAUUGCACAAUGGGCAGAAGCCUGAUGCAGCAACGCCGCGUGCGGGAUGACGGCCUUCGAGUUGUAAACCGCUUUCGCCUGUGACGAAGCGUGAGUGACGGUAAUGGGUAAAGAAGCACCGGCUAACUACGUG
RNAcentral lists this ribosomal RNA (468 nucleotides) under uncultured bacterium. RNAcentral describes it as "partial 16S ribosomal RNA". It matches the Rfam family "Bacterial small subunit ribosomal RNA", at positions 28 to 507 of the family's 1533-position model. The record is from RNAcentral.